GUGGGGAAUAUUGGACAAUGGGCGCAAGCCUGAUCCAGCAACGCCGCGUGGAGGACGAAGGCCUUCGGGUCGUAAACUCCUGUCAGACGGGACGAAGGUGUGAGGGUAAAUAAUCCUUACGCUUGACGGUACCGUCAGAGGAAGCCCCGGCUAACUCCGUGCCAGCAGCCGCGGUAAUACGGAGGGGGCGAGCGUUAUUCGGAAUUAUUGGGCGUAAAGGGCGCGUAGGCGGCUUGGCAAGUCAAAGGUGAAAUCCCUCGGCUCAACUGAGGAACUGCCUUUGAAACUGCCUGGCUUGAGGCCGGGAGGGGGUAGCGGAAUUCCCAGUGUAGCGGUGAAAUGCGUAGAUAUUGGGAGGAACACCAGUGGCGAAGGCGGCUACCUGGACCGGUUCUGACGCUGAUGCGCGAAAGCGUGGGUAGCAAACAGG
RNAcentral lists this ribosomal RNA (430 nucleotides) under uncultured bacterium. RNAcentral describes it as "bacterial SSU rRNA". It matches the Rfam family "Bacterial small subunit ribosomal RNA", at positions 354 to 776 of the family's 1533-position model. The record is from RNAcentral.